GGUCACCUGCACUAACAGCCUGAGAGAAAAGGACACUGCAUAUCACAGAGAGAUGCAUAGAUGUUACACUCAGAAAGAGAGUGAACAACUAGAAGAUGUGGAAGGCAAGCUUUUUAGUAUUAAGAGGAAAAUUCCAAGGGCCAAUUUUGAAACAAACCAGGCAGAGACCCAGAUGCAGAAUCCUGCAGGCUGAGGGAUGUUAGGAAGAGUUAGCCCACCACUGCUGCGCUGAAACCAGGAUGACGCAAACUGGGCCUCAGGCCAGGUGUAUUCCUUGGAGUAUAACUGAAGGUUUACUUGGUAAUUCUAUGUUUAACUUUUUUUGGAACUUCUGGACUAUCUUCCAAAGCAACAGUACCAUUGUACAUUUUCACCAGCCACGUAUGACAGUCACACUCUCUCCACAUUCUUGCCAAAACUUGUUAUCAUUUUUCAAAUAAAAGACAGCCUAGUGUGUAUCUGAAAGAUGUCUCAUUGUGGUUUUUACUUGCAUCCCCCUGAUGACUAAUGAUGUUGAGAAUUAUUUCAGGUGCUUAUUCCUCAUUAAUUUUUUUUGGAGAAACAUCUAUU
RNAcentral lists this long non-coding RNA (570 nucleotides) under Homo sapiens (human). Its description in RNAcentral is "HSALNT0293190". The record is from RNAcentral. Lineage: Eukaryota; Metazoa; Chordata; Mammalia; Primates; Hominidae.